RNAcentral lists this ribosomal RNA (91 nucleotides) under bacterium (Candidatus Blackallbacteria) CG18_big_fil_WC_8_21_14_2_50_49_26. The record is from RNAcentral. Lineage: Bacteria; Candidatus Blackallbacteria.
GGUUACGGCCACAUCCAUUGUAAAGUACCCCAUCUCGUCAGAUCUGGGAAGUUAAAAUAAUGAGAGCUCAGUUAGUAGUAAGGUUGGGGAC